GAUGAACGCUGGCGGCGUGCCUAAUACAUGCAAGUCGAGCGAACAGACGAUGAGCUUGCUCCUCUGACGUUAGCGGCGGACGGGUGAGUAACACGUGUAUAACCUACCUAUAAGACUGGGAUAACUUCGGGAAACCGGAGCUAAUACCGUAUAAUAUAUUGAACCGCAUGGUUCAAUAGUGAAAGACGGUUUUGCUGUCACGUAUAGAUGGAUCCGCGCCGCAUUAGCUAGUUGGUAAGGUAACGGCUUACCAAGGCAACGAUGCGUAGCCGACCUGAGAGGGGGAUCGGCCACACUGGAACUGAGACACGGUCCAGACUCCUACGGGAGGCAGCAGUAGGGAAUCUUCCGCAAUGGGCGAAAGCCUGACGGAGCAACGCCGCGUGAGUGAUGAAGGUCUUCGGAUCGUAAAACUCUGUUAUUAGGGAAGAACAAAUGUGUAAGUAACUAUGCACGUCUUGACGGUACCUAAUCAGAAAGCCACGGCUAACUACGUG
RNAcentral lists this ribosomal RNA (497 nucleotides) under uncultured bacterium. Its description in RNAcentral is "partial 16S ribosomal RNA". It matches the Rfam family "Bacterial small subunit ribosomal RNA", at positions 28 to 507 of the family's 1533-position model. The record is from RNAcentral.